AUGCCAACUUUGGCUGUAUUUAUAAAAAUUGGAAUAAUCUAGAGAAGGCUAGCAUUGCCCCCUCAGAAGGACAGCAAGCACAUUUGUGAAGUGUUCCACAGAUUC
This 105-nucleotide small nuclear RNA is filed under the name Phascolarctos cinereus (koala). Lineage: Eukaryota; Metazoa; Chordata; Mammalia; Diprotodontia; Phascolarctidae. The record is from RNAcentral.